UUAUAUGGCUAAAACUCCAGCAUAUCGAGAGUAUUAAUUCUUUUAAUAAUUAACAAAAAAAAACCCUACAAUUUUAUUCCCACAAUUAUAUAUACAUGCGGCUCCAAUGGAGUAUUCACAUUCUUUCUUGGCAGGUUGUGAGCACGGUAUUCACAUCCAAACACAGAAGUUAAGAGUGCCUGAUAUGGUUUAUGAAACUGGACUGCAAAUUGCACCAGACAGCUACGAAGACACCUUGACAGAACUUGAGUGGGAAAUGAACAUCAUUUUGAAGAAAUUAGGAGGCUAGGAAAUUCAAAAUUGAAACCCAAAAAAAAAAAAA
This is a long non-coding RNA of Populus euphratica (Euphrates poplar), 322 nucleotides long. RefSeq lists it as uncharacterized. The transcript is spliced from 2 exons. The record is from RefSeq and is a predicted model, not a curated record. Lineage: Eukaryota; Viridiplantae; Streptophyta; Magnoliopsida; Malpighiales; Salicaceae.